CAUUGAGCCUUGAUGUGUAGGAUAGGUGGGAGGCUUUGAAGCGUGGACGCCAGUCUGCGUGGAGCCAACCUUGAAAUACCACCCUUUAAUGUUUGAUGUUCUAACGUUGGCCCCUUACCGGGGUUGCGGACAGUGUCUGGUGGGUAGUUUGACUGGGGCGGUCUCCUCCCAAAGCGUAACGGAGGAGCACGAAGGUUAGCUAAUCCUGGUCGGACAUCAGGAGGUUAGUGCAAUGGCAUAAGCUAGCUUGACUGCGAGCGUGACGGCGCGAGCAGGUGCGAAAGCAGGUCAUAGUGAUCCGGUGGUUCUGAAUGGAAGGGCCAUCGCUCAACGGAUAAAAGGUACUCCGGGGAUAACAGGCUGAUACCGCCCAAGAGUUCAUAUCGACGGCGGUGUUUGGCACCUCGAUGUCGGCUCAUCACAUCCUGGGGCUGAAGUAGGUCCCAAGGGUAUGGCUGUUCGCCAUUUAAAGUGGUACGCGAGCUGGGUUUAGAACGUCGUGAGACAGUUCGGUCCCUAUCUGCCGUGGGCGCUGGAGAAUUGAGGGGGGCUGCUCCUAGUACGAGAGGACCGGAGUGGACGCAUCACUGGUGUUCGGGUUGUCAUGCCAAUGGCACUGCCCGGUAGCUAAAUGCGGAAGAGAUAAGUGCUGAAAGCAUCUAAGCACGAAACUUGCCCCGAGAUGAGUUCUCCCUGAGACUUUAAGUCUCCUGAAGGAACGUUAAAGACGAUGACGUUGAUAGGCCGGGUGUGUAAGCGCAGCGAUGCGUUGAGCUAACCGGUACUAAUGAACCGUGAGGCUUAACCUUACAACGCCGAAG
RNAcentral lists this ribosomal RNA (821 nucleotides) under Klebsiella pneumoniae. Its description in RNAcentral is "partial 23S ribosomal RNA". It matches the Rfam family "Bacterial large subunit ribosomal RNA", at positions 2122 to 2925 of the family's 2925-position model. The record is from RNAcentral. Lineage: Bacteria; Pseudomonadati; Pseudomonadota; Gammaproteobacteria; Enterobacterales; Enterobacteriaceae.